RNAcentral lists this ribosomal RNA (477 nucleotides) under uncultured bacterium. Its description in RNAcentral is "partial 16S ribosomal RNA". It matches the Rfam family "Bacterial small subunit ribosomal RNA", at positions 30 to 507 of the family's 1533-position model. The record is from RNAcentral.
AUUGAACGCUGGCGGCAUGCCUUACACAUGCAAGUCGAACGGUAACAGGUUAAGCUGACGAGUGGCGAACGGGUGAGUAAUACAUCGGAACGUGCCCAGUAGUGGGUGAUAGCCCGGCGAAAGCCGGAUUAAUACCGCAUACGACCUAAGUGUGAAAGGGGGGGAUCGCAAGACCUCUCGCUAUUGGAGCGGCCGAUGUCAGAUUAGCUAGUUGGUGGGGUAAAAGCUCACCAAGGCGACGAUCUGUAGCUGGUCUGAGAGGACGACCAGCCACACUGGGACUGAGACACGGCCCAGACUCCUACGGGAGGCAGCAGUGGGGAAUUUUGGACAAUGGGCGCAAGCCUGAUCCAGCCAUGCCGCGUGCGGGAAGAAGGCCUUCGGGUUGUAAACCGCUUUUGUCAGGGAAGAAAUCCUUUGGGUUAAUACCUCGGGGGGAUGACGGUACCUGAAGAAUAAGCACCGGCUAACUACGUG